UACGGAGGAUCCAAGCGUUAUCCGGAAUCAUUGGGGUUAAAGGGUCCGUAGGCGGUUUUGUAAGUCAGUGGUGAAAGCCCAUCGCUCAACGGUGGAACGGCCAUUGAUACUGCAAGACUUGAAUUACUAGGAAGUAACUAGAAUAUGUAGUGUAGCGGUGAAAUGCUUAGAUAUUACAUGGAAUACCAAUUGCGAAGGCAGGUUACUACUAGUUGAUUGACGCUGAUGGACGAAAGCGUGGGGAGCGAACAGG
RNAcentral lists this ribosomal RNA (253 nucleotides) under uncultured bacterium. Its description in RNAcentral is "partial 16S ribosomal RNA". It matches the Rfam family "Bacterial small subunit ribosomal RNA", at positions 524 to 776 of the family's 1533-position model. The record is from RNAcentral.